UCCGAGUUGACCCCGGCAGUCUCCCACGAGUGCCCGGCCGAACCGCUGGCAACAUGGGACAAGGGUUGCGCUCGUUGCGGGACUUAACCCAACAUCUCACGACACGAGCUGACGACAGCCAUGCAGCAUCUGUGGUGCACCCUCGAAGGUCACACGUUUCCGUGCGCUUGCAGCACCAUGUCAAGCCCAGGUAAGGUUCUUCGCGUAGCAUCGAAUUAAAGAACAUGCUCCGCUGCUUGUGCGGGCCCCCGUCAAUUCUUUUGAGUUUUAGCCUUGCGGCCGUACUCCCCAGGCGGGGCACUUAAUGCGUUAGCUUCGGCACGGAGGGAGUCGACACCCCCCACACCUAGUGCCCAUCGUUUACAGCGUGGACUAC
Molecule: unclassified non-coding RNA, 376 nt
Filed under: uncultured Actinomycetes bacterium
Lineage: Bacteria; Bacillati; Actinomycetota; Actinomycetes
Description: uncultured actinobacterium contains 16S-23S intergenic spacer region
Source: RNAcentral